UGCUAGUAGACACUGGCCCCAGUAUUAAGAGGUGGACUGCUAGUAGACACUGGCCCCAGUAUUAAGAGGUGGACUGCUAGUAGACACUGGCCCCAGUAUUAAGAGGUGGACUGCUAGUAGACACUGACCCCAGUAUUAAGAGGUGGACUGCUAGUAGACACUGGCCCCAGUAUUAAGAGGUGGACUGCUAGUAGACACUGGCCCCAGUAUUAAGAGGUGGACUGCUAGUAGACACUGGCCCCAGUAUUAAGAGGUGGACUGCUAGUAGACACUGGCCCCAGUAUUAAGAGGUGGACUGCUAGUUGACACUGGCCCCAGUAUUAAGAGGUGGACUGCUAGUAGACACUGGCCCCAGUAUUAAGAGGUGGACUGCUAGUAGACACUGGCCCCAGUAUUAAGAGGUGGACUGCUAGUAGACACUGGCCCCAGUAUUAAGAGGUGGACUGCUAGUAGACACUGGCCCCAGUAUUAAGAGGUGGACUGCUAGUUGACACUGGCCCCAGUAUUAAGAGGUGGACUGCUAGUAGACACUGGCCCCAGUAUUAAGAGGUGGACUGCUAGUUGACACUGGCCCCAGUAUUAACAGGUGGACUGCUAGUAGACACUGACCCCAGUAUUAAGAGGUGGACUGCUAGUAGACACAGGCCCCAGUAUUAAGAGGUGGACUGCUAGUUGACACUGGCCCCAGUAUUAACAGGUGGACUGCUAGUAGACACUGGCCCCAGUAUUAAGAGGUGGACUGCUAGUAGACACAGGCCCCAGUAUUAAGAGGUGGACUGCUAGCUGACACUGGCCCCAGUAUUAAGAGGUGGACUGCUAGUAGACACUGGCCCCAGUAUUAAGAGGUGGACUGCUAGUAGACACUGGCCCCAGUAUUAAGAGGUGGACUGCUAGUAGACACUGGCCCCAGUAUUAAGAGGUGGACUGCUAGUAGACACUGGCCCCAGUAUUAAGAGGUGGACUGCUAGUAGACACUGGCCCCAGUAUUAAGAGGUGGACUGCUAGUAGACACUGGCCCCAGUAUUAAGAGGUGGACUGCUAGUAGACACUGGCCCCAGUAUUAAGAGGUGGACUGCUAGUAGACACUGGCCCCAGUAUUAAGAGGUGGACUGCUAGUUGACACUGGCCCCAGUAUUAAGAGGUGGACUGCUAGUAGACACUGGCCCCAGUAUUAAGAGGUGGACUGCUAGUAGACACUGGCCCCAGUAUU
Molecule: long non-coding RNA, 1210 nt
Organism: Oncorhynchus keta (chum salmon)
Lineage: Eukaryota; Metazoa; Chordata; Actinopteri; Salmoniformes; Salmonidae
Exons: 4
Source: RefSeq, a predicted model, not a curated record